Molecule: non-coding RNA, 1102 nt
Organism: Paramisgurnus dabryanus
Lineage: Eukaryota; Metazoa; Chordata; Actinopteri; Cypriniformes; Cobitidae
Source: RefSeq, a predicted model, not a curated record
CAUCAAAGUACCGCGAGAGUUUGGGAAAGCCCCGGAAAAGGUUUGAACUCGCGGUACUUGAUGUCACGAUCGGUUUGCGUGUAGAUCAGCAUGAAGUCGAACACAUCUGAAAGAUGUGUGGGCUGCCUGCACUCAACGUUGCGAUAAUUCAGUAGAGUGUAACCUCAAUCGGUUUUUGCAGCUUCUGGGUGUCGUGUCGAACGAUCGCAGAACGAUAUUUUGUUCUUUUCCAACUCGAUUUUUAACUCCCUAAACUAGUAGGAUGUUCCAACGGGUGAAGCAACAGUGCUGACGGCAGAGUUUCAGUGUCAAUUUUUCAUGCCAUGAUCACUGGGGCGGAAACCAUUAUGACGUUGCCUUGGACAUCAAACUAAACCAUCUCAUUCUGGCUUUUUUCUAACAUCGAAAUCUCAGAAGGACAGGACUAAGAUGGACGCAGCCUCCACAUGCAACCUUGCAUUUGAGGAACACCCAUAGAACAGUCAACUUACCCCAUACUCUAACCUGAAUGCAGGGAUCAUAAAACUUUAUCUUUUACCUUAAUUGUUAGAUGGUUGUUGAUACCAAACUUUUUUGUCUCGUCUACCCAGGAGAAAGUCAUGGGUUCUGCUGCUGAGUGUCUUUUAUUCUGCUUACCUGACUCAUGCAGAAUUCUGGCUUGAUGUUUGGUCCACCUGUUAGCUGGCUCUGGUGCUUGGUAGUCUUCUCAAACCUCUGAAUCAAGGCCACCAUGAGAGGCCUUCUGAAGACCAUCAUUACGCUUCAGAUCCAGUUGUCUUUACUAUGAGCCUACCACAAUCCCUGUGCACCAGCUAUGGAAAGUGCAGACCAAACUUCUACCUCCACCUAUGGGACUGAACUGGAGUCUGUGAACUAAUGCUGUGUUCGAGACAACUUGGAUGUUGGAUAUUAUUGAGCUCAAACCCGUAAGAAGUCUGGAACAGCAAACAAAGUUGAGUAUCCGACCUCUCAACUUGGGACAGAUCGAUCAACACCGACCUCAACGAGAUGCAUCAUUUGACAUUGCAGACAAGUUGGUGGCUAGCCUUUCACAGCCUUACAUGAACCGCAAACAAACUUGAAACUAUUUUUACAGCACAUA